Long non-coding RNA from Oncorhynchus tshawytscha (Chinook salmon), 975 nucleotides. Lineage: Eukaryota; Metazoa; Chordata; Actinopteri; Salmoniformes; Salmonidae. The record is from Ensembl.
GCUCUGAGGGCACACAGUGUGUUGUAGAUAUGUGGUAGUGGUGGAGUAGGGGCCUGAGGGCACACAGUGUGUUGUAGAUAUGUGGUAAUGGUGGACUAGGGGCCUGAGGGCACACAGUGUGUUGUAGAUAUGUGGUAGUGGUGGACUAGGGGCCUGAGGACACACAGUGUGUUGUAGAUAUGUGGUAGUGGUGGAGUAGGGGCCUGAGGGCACACAGUGUGUUGUAGAUAUGUGGUAAUGGUGGACUAGGGGCCUGAGGGCACACAGUGUGUUGUAGAUGUGUGGUAGUGGUGGAGUAGGGGCCUGAGGACACACAGUGUGUUGUAGAUGUGUGGUAGUGGUGGACUAGGGGCCUGAGGGCACACAGUGUGUUGUAGAUAUGUGGUAGUGGUGCAGUAGGGGCCUGAGGGCACACAGUGUGUUGUAGAUAUGUGGUAGUGGUGGAGUAGGUGCCUGAGGGCACACAGUGUGUUGUAGAUGUGUGGUAGUGGUGGAGUAGGGGCCUGAGGGCACACAGUGUGUUGUAGAUAUGUGGUAGUGGUGCAGUAGGGGCCUGAGGGCACACAGUGUGUUGUAGAUAUGUGGUAGUGGUGCAGUAGGGGCCUGAGGGCACACAGUGUGUUGUAGAUAGGUGGUAGUGGUGCAGUAGGGGCCUGAGGGCACACAGUGUGUUGUAGAUAGGUGGUAGUGGUGUAGUAGGGGCCUGAGGGCACAGUGUGUUGUAGAUAGGUGGUAGUGGUGGUGUAGGGGCUUGAGGGCACAGUGUGUUGUAGAUAGGUGGUAGUGGUGGACUAGGGGCCUGAGGGCACAGUGUGUUGUAGAUAGGUGGUAGUGGUGGUGUAGGGGCCUGAGGGCACACAGUGUGUUGUAGAUGUGUGGUAGUGGUGGAGUAGGGGCCUGAGGGCCACAGUGUGUUGUAGAUAUGUGGUAGUGGUGGACUAGGGGCCUGAGGGCACACAGUGUGUUGUAGAUAUG